UUCUUCCCCGGCAGUGUUUCUGUAUUCCCCAAUAGGAUGGAUCUUAAGCAGAGUAAGAUCUUUUCCCUAGUAGAUCGCAUUGGUUUCCCCUCCAGUCGCCAUCCGACUCGCUCCCAGUCAGAGUUCCCUCCUGAUUUUUGAGCAACUAUUUGUGUUUAUCUUCUCCAUGGUUGUCUCCCAUUUAAUAUGUUGCUGACCUAAAACUCCCUGCAGGCUCGAUA
RNAcentral lists this long non-coding RNA (221 nucleotides) under Lathyrus oleraceus (garden pea). RNAcentral describes it as "Pisum sativum (pea) long non-coding RNA (PSAT_LNC001677)". The record is from RNAcentral. Lineage: Eukaryota; Viridiplantae; Streptophyta; Magnoliopsida; Fabales; Fabaceae.